AUGGCCAAGUGCCUCAUGAACGAUGGCGUGACCAGCUGCUCCAGCUCGCCGGCGCGCAUGCUGGGCACCUUCGGGUACUUCGCGCCCGAGUACGCCAUCGUCGGCAAGGCGUCGCUCAAGUCGGACGUGUUCAGCUUCGGCGUGGUGGUGCUGGAGCUCAUCACGGGCCGGCAGCCGGUGCACAAGAGGGGCGGCGCCGGCGCCAGCGGCGCGGGCACGGACGAGAGCUUGGUGAUGUGGGCGACGUCGCGGCUGCGGGACAGUAGGCUGGUGGUCGCGGAGCUGCCGGACCCGGCGCUGAAGGGCGCGUUCCCGCCCGAGGAGAUGCAGAUCAUGGCCCACCUGGCCAGAGAGUGCCUGCAGUGGGACCCCGAGGCCAGGCCCACCAUGACCAAAGUCGUCCAGAUCCUCUCCACCAUCGCGCCCCUCGCCGACAAGCGCCGUCGCCACCACCUGCCCGCCGCCGCCGAUGCCUUCGCCCCGGGCUUCCACGCCGAGAGGCCGCGGGAAUGCUCAGUGUGGCAGGACGACGACGACUACGGCCAUCGCCGCGAUCACCUGCACGGAGGGUACGGCAGCAAUGCCAAGGGCGCCGUCUUGUCCGGAGAGGUCACGGUUAACGUCGGGAUGCCAGUGACGAUGAUGACGACGAUGGGGCGGAGCUGGCGGUCGGCGGAGCAGGAGGAGGUGGACCUGACGGAGCCGCGGCUGGAGACGUUCACGGAGCCGCCGACGACAGCCAGCCCCUUCAGGUGA
Molecule: ribosomal RNA, 756 nt
Filed under: Triticum aestivum (bread wheat)
Lineage: Eukaryota; Viridiplantae; Streptophyta; Magnoliopsida; Poales; Poaceae
Description: partial small subunit ribosomal RNA
Source: RNAcentral